GGAAUAUAAGAACUUGUCUCUUAACUUUUAACUAAAAAAGCUAAGAACCGGUUCUUAAAUAAGAGUUUUAAGAGACGGUUUUUAGUUUUUUUAAUUAAAAGUUAAGAGACGGAUUUUUAUAUUCU
This 125-nucleotide microRNA precursor is filed under the name Brassica oleracea var. oleracea. RNAcentral's name for it is "MIR9563 microRNA precursor family". It matches the Rfam family "MIR9563 microRNA precursor family". The record is from Rfam by way of RNAcentral. Lineage: Eukaryota; Viridiplantae; Streptophyta; Magnoliopsida; Brassicales; Brassicaceae.